AUUACUUUGGCAGAAUAGUGCUUUAAAUUUAGAAUUUAAAUAUAUAUUAAUUAUAAUAUAGGUAAUA
This 67-nucleotide transfer RNA is filed under the name Sarophorus sp. SAR01. Its description in RNAcentral is "tRNA-Leu". Lineage: Eukaryota; Metazoa; Arthropoda; Insecta; Coleoptera; Scarabaeidae. The record is from RNAcentral.